CAGCCGCCGCGGGAAAACGGAGGGUGCGAGCGUUAAUCGGAAUUACUGGGCGUAAAGCGUACGCAGGCGGUUUGUUAAGUCAGAUGUGAAAUCCCCGAGCUUAACUCGGGAACUGCAUUUGAAACUGGCAGGCUAGAGUCUCGUAGAGGGGGGUAGAAUUCCAGGUGUAGCGGUGAAAUGCGUAGAGAUCUGGAGGAAUACCGGUGGCGAAGGCGGCCCCCUGGACGAAGACUGACGCUCAGGUACGAAAGCGUGGGGAGCAAACAGGAUUAGAUACCCGGUAGUCCCUGUCUCUUAUACA
RNAcentral lists this ribosomal RNA (301 nucleotides) under uncultured bacterium. Its description in RNAcentral is "partial 16S ribosomal RNA". It matches the Rfam family "Bacterial small subunit ribosomal RNA", at positions 509 to 808 of the family's 1533-position model. The record is from RNAcentral.